AACGAACGCUGGCGGCAGGCCUAACACAUGCAAGUCGAGCGAGGACUUCGGUCCUAGCGGCGGACGGGUGAGUAACGCGUGGGAACGUGCCCUUUGCUUCGGAAUAGCCCUGGGAAACUGGGAGUAAUACCGGAUGAGCCCUUUGGGGGAAAGAUUUAUCGGCGAAGGAUCGGCCCGCGUUGGAUUAGGUAGUUGGUGGGGUAAUGGCCUACCAAGCCGACGAUCCAUAGCUGGUUUGAGAGGAUGAUCAGCCACACUGGGACUGAGACACGGCCCAGACUCCUACGGGAGGCAGCAGUGGGGAAUCUUAGACAAUGGGGGAAAUCCUGAUCGAGCCAUGCCGCGUGAGCGAUGAAGGCCUUAGGGUUGUAAAGCUCUUUCAGCUGGGAAGAUAAUGACGGUACCAGCAGAAGAAGCCCCGGCUAACUCCGUG
RNAcentral lists this ribosomal RNA (433 nucleotides) under uncultured bacterium. Its description in RNAcentral is "partial 16S ribosomal RNA". It matches the Rfam family "Bacterial small subunit ribosomal RNA", at positions 29 to 507 of the family's 1533-position model. The record is from RNAcentral.